RNAcentral lists this unclassified non-coding RNA (627 nucleotides) under Hevea brasiliensis (rubber tree). The record is from RNAcentral. Lineage: Eukaryota; Viridiplantae; Streptophyta; Magnoliopsida; Malpighiales; Euphorbiaceae.
UUUUAUAACCAUCGGAUCGAUGUUCAAAUUCUGUUGAACUUAAGAUCCGAUGGUAUACUAAAGAGUACCUCCAUAUUUACCCCUAUAUUUCAACAACUUUACGUAUAUACCAAAAUAUCAAGUAUAGCUCGUAACAAUCUAUCCGUUGAACUUCUAGGCCGAUCAAAUCAAAUAAGGAAAAAAAACCCUAAUAUUUGAAAACUAACCCUACCACCUUUUUUACUCAUAUUUCAUCGUACUGCUAGUCGUUGUAAAUGGCUGAUAAGGUACAACGAAUGUCAUCAGAGCACGGGGUGAUGAUUUUCAGCAAGAGUACGUGUUGUUUAUGCUACGCGGUCACUAUACUAUUUCGAGAUCUUGGUGUUGAUCCAUAUGUGCAUGAACUUGAUCAUGAUUCUGAGGGAAAAGAUAUGGAAAAAGCUCUUGUGAGGAUGGGUUGUAAUGUCUCAGUUCCAGCAGUUUUUAUAGGGGGGAAAUUAGUUGGAUCAACAAAUGAAGUUAUGUCACUUCAUCUCAAAGGAUCCCUAAUUCAACUCCUCAAGCCAUAUCUACCUGAUUAAAAUAAAAUAAAUUGGAGAAUUGGAGAGUGAAAUUAUUCACCUUUAAAGGGAAAUAAGAAAAAGAAAG